CCUACGGGAGGCAGCAGUGAGGAAUAUUGGUCAAUCUGCGAAAGCGGGAACCAGCAACGCCGCGUGAAGGAAGAAGGCCUUCGGGUUGUAAACUUCUUUAGGGGAAGACGAGAAAGGACGGUAUUCCCAAAAUAAGCAACGGCAAACUACGUGCCAGCAGCCGCGGUAAUA
This 171-nucleotide ribosomal RNA is filed under the name uncultured bacterium. RNAcentral describes it as "partial 16S ribosomal RNA". It matches the Rfam family "Bacterial small subunit ribosomal RNA", at positions 338 to 525 of the family's 1533-position model. The record is from RNAcentral.